UACAGAGGGGGCAAGCGUUGUUCGGAAUUACUGGGCGUAAAGGGCGCGUAGGCGGUCUUCUAAGUCGAACGUGAAAUCCCCGGGCUCAACCCGGGAACUGCGUCCGAUACUGGAAGGCUUGAAUCCGGGAGAGGGAUGUGGAAUUCCAGGUGUAGCGGUGAAAUGCGUAGAUAUCUGGAGGAACACCGGUGGCGAAGGCGACAUCCUGGACCGGUAUUGACGCUGAGGCGCGAAAGCUAGGGGAGCAAACGGG
This 253-nucleotide ribosomal RNA is filed under the name uncultured bacterium. RNAcentral's name for it is "partial 16S ribosomal RNA". It matches the Rfam family "Bacterial small subunit ribosomal RNA", at positions 524 to 776 of the family's 1533-position model. The record is from RNAcentral.